Molecule: microRNA precursor, 105 nt
Filed under: Canis lupus familiaris (dog)
Lineage: Eukaryota; Metazoa; Chordata; Mammalia; Carnivora; Canidae
Description: mir-8834 microRNA precursor family
Rfam family: mir-8834 microRNA precursor family
Source: Rfam by way of RNAcentral
AGGAGCAACAGCCCCAGUGGCGGGGCCAGCUCUGCAGCCCUGGAGUCAGCCCCCGCAGUAGCUCCGGAGCUCUCGGUCUGCAGGGCCUGGAGGCUCCGGGGCGGG